GAUGAACGCUGGCGGCGUGCCUAAUACAUGCAAGUAGAACGCUGAAGGAGGAGCUUGCUCUUCUGGAUGAGUUGCGAACGGGUGAGUAACGCGUAGGUAACCUGCCUGGUAGCGGGGGAUAACUAUUGGAAACGAUAGCUAAUACCGCAUGACAACAGUUAUUGCAUGAUAACUGUUUAAAAGGGGCAACUGCUCCACUACCAGAUGGACCUGCGUUGUAUUAGCUAGUUGGUGAGGUAACGGCUCACCAAGGCGACGAUACAUAGCCGACCUGAGAGGGGGAUCGGCCACACUGGGACUGGGACACGGCCCAGACUCCUACGGGAGGCAGCAGUAGGGAAUCUUCGGCAAUGGACGGAAGUCUGACCGAGCAACGCCGCGUGAGUGAAGAAGGUUUUCGGAUCGUAAAGCUCUGUUGUAAGAGAAGAAAGAGUGUGAGAGUGGAAAGUUCACACUGUGACGGUAUCUUACCAGAAAGGGACGGCUAACUACGUG
Molecule: ribosomal RNA, 495 nt
Filed under: uncultured bacterium
Lineage: Bacteria
Description: partial 16S ribosomal RNA
Rfam family: Bacterial small subunit ribosomal RNA
Source: RNAcentral